Long non-coding RNA from Carassius carassius (crucian carp), 503 nucleotides. RefSeq lists it as uncharacterized. NCBI's taxonomy places the organism in Eukaryota, Metazoa, Chordata, Actinopteri, Cypriniformes, Cyprinidae. The record is from RefSeq and is a predicted model, not a curated record. The transcript is spliced from 3 exons.
AUUGUGUCUGCUGCCCAUUACACAACCAGACAAAAUUUGUGAUUGUGACCCUCAAAACCUGGCUAUUGUAGCUGGACGAUCUGUUGUGCUCAUCUGUAUAAAUGGUCGCUAUGACGUCUUCCUGCCAGUGAUGAAUUGCAGAGCUUGUCUUGCAUCAUGGACACCUGAGGUGGUUGACCUGUUGUUUAGUGGUUACUGGCCAGGCACUGUCGAGUUUCAAACCAUAUACAAGGUAGACCUCUUCACAUCGUUUGAGGACCUGAAGAUCACUGCACCUGGACUUUCAAGACAAGCAUUUGUGAAAAUGUUACAACAGCGCUUACAACAAUUUGGAAGGAGUGGUAACAUUUGUGGCAACGUCUUCCAAAAAGCUUUCCUUGAAUGGACAUAUUGUCGUCAUAAAAGAGAAAAACUCUGCGGCAUUGAUCACUUCUCUUUGCCCAGCUUGCACCCCAGAUACAGUUGCUGUGUCUGCAGACGGAAACAGAAAACUAUACAGAUUC